This 343-nucleotide long non-coding RNA is filed under the name Androctonus crassicauda. Lineage: Eukaryota; Metazoa; Arthropoda; Arachnida; Scorpiones; Buthidae. The record is from RNAcentral.
AUCAAUUUAUUGCAAUUAAUGUUCAUAUUUUCAAUUUUUUUGAUAUUCCAUAUUUGAAAAAAAACUCAUAAAUCUGGGAACUCAUUAAGUGAGAACUUGUAAAAUGAAUGUCUUCCUAUAUGUAUCGUCAAUGGCCAUCAGAGGGGAGCAAGAGAAGUUGUGUGCUGGGCCUCACAGUUUUAUGGGUCUCAUUUUAAAAUUCAAUAUGUACAAUAUAAAAAUAUUUUUAUACUGUUCAGUUUCAGUGUUUGUCAAAUUUGAAAUUCUCUGUCAAUGUUUUUGCUUUUCUUGUACCUUUAUAUAUUAUAUUGCUGCUAAUGUUAAAGCAUGCAAAACUUCUGUG